This 72-nucleotide transfer RNA is filed under the name bacterium. RNAcentral's name for it is "tRNA-Glu". It matches the Rfam family "tRNA". From Rfam's summary of the family: Transfer RNA (tRNA) molecules are approximately 80 nucleotides in length. Their secondary structure includes four short double-helical elements and three loops (D, anti-codon, and T loops). The record is from RNAcentral. RNAcentral also lists the same sequence under 1 other name.
GGCCCCUUCUUCUAUCGGUUAGGAAACAGGGCUUUCAUCCCUGGAAGACGAGUUCGACUCUCGUAGGGGUCA